AUUUUCAUAAACUUACGUGGAGUCCUACCUAGGCUAAGAGCCUUUGGAUAUUAGCCUAGGUGUUCAAGUCCGACACCCACGCUCAAUUUUGAACAAAAUUAUACUUCGACGAUUUCUUUAAAAAUAUAUAUUUCUUGCAUGUAAAUGACACCUUUUUAUUGUGGAAAUCUAGAUUUAAGCAAUUUUUGUCAAAAAUGAUUUAUAAUCAUAAGGCACUAUUAGAACUCGUAGGUAAACCGCGAUUGAGCGGAUUCUUAAUACCCGGGUGCCUAACACCUUCCCCGGAGGAUCACCAAAACCCUUACCCAGACUUUAGUAGAUUAGGUUUCUUUUAGGAUAGUCGUAAAAAUAACUAUUUUAAAUGAACCCAUUUCAAACUGGUUUUCCUAAUUUCCUAAAAAUUAGGUGGCGGCUCUAAAAUAUAUCCUUUAGAGCAUCAUUAAGUAGGUGGCGGGCUUUUCAGACUUUUCCGGUAUGAUUCACAACCGUACUUUCCCGGGAAACCUCCCUCCUUUUAUGAGAUAUGUGCGAGCCGGUUAAACUUAGAAUUCCCAACGCCCGCUACAUCACGAAGGAAAGAACCCACAAUCAUCUACAUUUUCUAUAGAUUUGCUUCAAUAAGGUAAGCUUCUCAUCUCAUCUCUUGUCUAGAACGGAAUUUGAAGGAUAUCUAUCAUGAUUACCACUAACAGAGCAUUAUUAUGGGUUUAAAUUUGGUUGAAAAUUUGAGAAAGAUUCCGAUUGGGUUUCUCAUGGAGUUUUUGUGGGAUUUUCUAGAAUUUCGGGUGUUGUUGCUUGAAAUCAUGAUCCAUUGAGUCUAAUAAUCAUGCAUGCCUGAAUGAUUGAAGAUUUAGAAGUCUAGAAUUAGAAUUUCAUAACAAAAAAUCAUGGGAAAAUCAGUAACCCCGACUGUUUUCUGGGUUUUUGAGAAUUGUGAUAAACUCUGCACCUGCAAGAAAUAUCACGCAGGUGCGGUAGAUGCUGAGAAGUUCAAUUCUGCAGAUGCAAUUUUUUUUUUGCAAAAGCGACCUAGUAUCUGCGGUGCUACUUCUACAGGCGUGAUGCUUGGACUAUUUUUGCAAACCAGUAGCUUUGCAGCUGUGUAUGCUGGGCCUAUUUUGCUAGUGCUAAAGUGGUGAUAAUGGACCCAAACAUGAAUGAAAAUGUGGCACCAAAUCAGGAAAUUGCAGAAGAGGCUGCGGAGGAGCAAUAUGACGCUUUUAGGUUCAUGUCCUGUGAUUUUCAUCGCCGAUACACUACAAGAAAGUAUAGAAAUAACAACAAAAAAUUUAAUACUUGGCAACAACUUAGUUUUAUUGUUGCCAAAUGAACUUUUUUGUUGCCA
Lycium ferocissimum is the source of this 1345-nucleotide long non-coding RNA. RefSeq lists it as uncharacterized. The record is from RefSeq and is a predicted model, not a curated record. The transcript has 2 exons. NCBI's taxonomy places the organism in Eukaryota, Viridiplantae, Streptophyta, Magnoliopsida, Solanales, Solanaceae.